GCUGAGCGGGUGGUGGUGGUGGUGGUGAUGGGGAAUCUGACACGCUGGCAUCCGUUCCUGCCACCCCCAACUUUGAGAAAGAUGUCCCUGGGCGAGUUCUCAACCCAGGUAACCGUGCGAGUCUCCAGCCCGAUCCUCGGCCUUGCUCACCAAACGAGCGAUGUGGAUGUCUAUUUGAGGUUUGUUGACGUUUUGGUGUUCUUAAUUGGCCACGCAGGGAAAUGUUGUCAGCAGGACUUUGUGAAAGUUUUAAUCAAGGCACAACUUGAAACCUAAUUAGCGAAUAAGCACGGCAUGAAGUUUACGUCAUGUGACCUGAUGAUUGAAAUUAAUGUUUUCCUACGGCUGUCCCGAAAGAGUUGAGUAAGCCAGGAAAGGGCAUUGAUGGUGACAUUGCUAGCAAGUGGUGUGCAGUGUUGGCCUUUGGGGUGGUGGGUGGGGGGAGGGGCUCCUAACGUUCUGUUACAGGACCCCAGCAGUUGUACCUAGCGCAGACGUCUCUGUUCAACUCCACGCAAUUCCUUACUGGAACUCCACACAGCCUCGGUGCUACUCAACGCAACCUUGAUGCAACGUCAACACCGUCUAUCAGGGAGUGUCAAUGUCUCUUGCUAUCCACAGCAGCAACAUUAUUACUAUGCAGUGGUCAUGUGCAGUGCUGCUAGGUAGCCACGAGUGUGAACACGGAGGUUGUGUUUAUCAUUGUCAAGGCUGAGCGGGUGGUGGUGGGGAAUCGGACAUGCUGGCAUCCGUUCCUGCCACCCCCAACUUUGAGAAAGAUGUCUGGGCAAGUUCUCAACCCAGGUAACCGUGCGAGUCUCCGGCCCGAUCCUCGGCCUUGCUCAUCAAUCGAGCGAUUAGUUUUCGUAAUUGGAAACGCAGGGAAUCGUCAGGAGGACGUUGAAAGUUUUAAUGGAGGCAAAACUUGAAACCUUCAUUUACAAAUAACCACAGCAUGAAGUUUACGUAAUGUGACCUGAAGAUUGAAAUCAAUGUUUUCUUACGGCUAUCCUGAAUAUUUCCCUAAGCCAGGAAAGGGCGUUGAUGGUGACAUUGCUAGCAAGCGGUGUGCAGUGUUGGCCAUUGUGGCUCUGGGGUGGUGGGAGGGGCUCCUAACGUUCUAUGUUACAGGACCCCAGCAGUUGUGCCUAGCGCAGACGUCUCUGUUCAACUCAACUCAACUUCCUCAGUUGCAACUCCUCCACACAACCUCGCUGCAACUCCUCUACACAACCUCCGUGCAACUUUACGUAACCUCAGAACACCUUCACGCAACCUUGCUCCAACUCCUCGCAACUUCAGUGCAACUCCACGUUCUCUGUGCACCUCCCAAGCAACCUCGCGACAUCGUACAAGGGGACAGCAAGAGGGAAGGAAGCACAAAUUGCUCCUCUAUCAUCGGGCAUUCCAGGCAGUUAACGGGACCUGGUAACACCGUAAAUACUUUGACAUUCACAUUUGCCUUGCUGCUGCUACUACUACAGGCCUUGUGUUUGUAUCAGGGGGGAGUGGGGGGGGGGGGUACUCUAACGUUCUGUCUUCCAGAAUCCUCCCCGGGUCUACUCUCCUUUUAUCUUUGAACAUCAUCUCAACAUCUCGGUACAGCUCCAAACCAAGGAAGCCCCAACGGGGCAGAGAUCCCAGGCAGUGACGGGACAGGGAGCCAGGUCUGCGUCUUUGAUGUCUCGGCUCAAGUGCAGAGGAAGGAAGUGCAACGGUCGAAUCGGCGGUGGAUACGGGCAGUUAGCGGACCUCCUGGACCCCAGCAGUUGUGCCUAGCGCAGACGUCUCUGUUCAACUCCACGCAAUUCCUUACUGGAACUCCACACAGCCUCGGUGCUACUCAACGCCACCAGGGAGUGUCCAAUGUCUCUUGCUACCCACAGCAGCAACAUUAUUACUAUGCAAUGGUCAUGAGCAGUGCUGCUAGGUAGCCACGAGUGUGAACACGGAGGUCGUGUUUAUCGUUGUCAAGGCUGAGCGGGUGAUGGUGACGAUGGGCGGAAUGGGAGAAACGCCAACCCCCUACCGCUGUUACAACCCAGUCCUGGACAGGAGAGGCCAGGGACGACCAACAGCGUCCAUCAGGGAGUGUCAAUGUCUCUCGCUACCCACAGCAGCAGCAUUCUUUAUUAUCAAUGGCAAUGAGCCGUGCUGUGUAGCCACGCGUGAGCAUCAUGGAGGUUGUGUUUUAUUAUUGUCAAGGCUGAGCGGGUGGUGGUGGUGAUGGGGAAUCGGACACGCUGGCAUCCGUUCCUGCCCCCCCAACUUUGAGAAAGAUGUCUGGGCGAGUUCUCAACCCAGGACCCCAGCAGUUGUGCCUAGCGCAGACGUCUCUGUUCAACUCCACUCAACUUCCUCAGUUGCAACUCACACGGCCUCAGUGCAACUCUUCCAUACAACCUCGGUGCAACUCCACGUUACCUCGGUGCAACUCUACGUAACCUGAGAACACCUUCACGCAACCUUGCUCCAACUCCUCGCAACUUCAGUGCAACUCCACGUGUUCUCUGUGCACCUCCCAAGCAACCUCGCGACAUCGUACAAGGGGACAGCAAGAGGGAAGGAAGCGCAAAUUGCUCCUCUAUCAUCGGCCAUUCCAGGCAGUUAACGGGACCCGGUAACACCGUAAAUACUUUGACAUUCACAUUUGCCUUGCUGCUGCUACUACUACAGGCUUUGUGUUUGUAUUAGGGGGAGUGGGGGGGGGUCUCUAACGUUCUGUCUUCCAGAAUCCUCCCGUGAUCUGUAGCCACGCGUGAGCAUCAUGGGGGUUGUGUUUUAUUAUUGUCAAGGCUGAGCGGGUGGUGAUGGGGAAUCGGACACGCUGGCAUCCGUUCCUGCCACCCCCAACUUUGAGAAAGAUGUCUGGGCGAGUUCUCAACCCAGGUAACUGUGCGAUUCUCCGGCCCGAUCCUCGGCCUUGCUCACCAAACGAGCGAUGUGGAUGUCUACUUGAACACCAAAGGAACAUUAAAUUCUCCCAAACGCAGCUGUCGGCAGUGGCUGAGCUCACUUGCCAACGAGGACAUUCAAUUGAUUUUGAUAACGUUGAAGUGUUACGCGGAGCUAGUUAUUACUGGCCGAGAUUAGUUGGAGAAUAAAUCUGAAUUGAGAAGAAUUCAAAUAAUUUCAACCCGCUCUGUUCGCAACCGGCUCGGCGCAGCCUGGAGGCGUCUUAAAUCUCGACUUAAAGCUUUCGUGACUGCAGGAAUUAAUAUUCUUUGGGUCAUUCGGUAAAGCCACGUGACUUUACCGAAAGACCCAAAGAAUAUGGAAGCGUAUUAUUAAGUAACACUCAACACACUUUGCAAUUGCUUACAGGUCAGUGACAUGCUAAGUUGCUGAUUACUGAUCUGUUACUUGAUUGCAUAUUCCCCCGCCUCUGAUCUCGAAUCCUGAUGGGGUUCAACAACGAUGGCACGGUCAUCCUGCGCUAUUUAAGACCAGAGCAGGUGGAUGGUUUCACUAUUCUGGCAAAUUUGCCCGAAGGUGCCGGAUGUGAUUUGCAGUGAAACGUCACGCUACCCAGAUUGUCAAUGUUGUGGAUCCGCUCUGCAACACACCGGCGGGCUAAAGUGGUGAACUAUUUUGUCUCUUGUCAACGUGACACAUCUUUUUACUGAUUGGCCGUGUCGGGUGGUGGAGGGUUGCGACACAUUUAAAAAUAACGCGAUCUGACACAAAAACACCUUCACCGUGAAUCAUCGUGGUCGCGAAAGCGUGCGACGUGUUAGACCGAGGUUUGAUGAAUUGAACUUUUGGCAUUCAUAAUUGAACACGCGGGGAAAGUUGUCGGCAGGACUUUGUUAAAGUUUUAAUCGAGGCAAAACUUUAAACCUUUAUUUGCAAAUGAACACAGCGUGAAGUUUACGUCAUGUGAGCUGAAGAUUGAGAUCAAUGUUUUCUUACGACUAUCCUGAAUAUUUCCCUAAGCCUGGAAAGGGCGUUGAUGGUGACAUUGCUAGCAACGGUGUGCAGUGUUGGCCAUUGUGGCUCUGGGGUGGUGUGUGGGGGGAGGGGCUCCUAACGUUCUAUGUUACAGGACCCCAGCAGUUGUGCCUAGCGCAGACGUCUCUGUUCAACUCCACGCAACUUCCUCAGUUGCAACUCAUACGGCCUCAGUGCAACUCCUCCAUACAACCUCGGUGCAACUUCACGUAACUUAAGAACACCUUCACGCAACCUUGCUCCAACUCCUCACAACUUCGGUGCAACUCCACACGGCCUCAGUUACAACUCCACACAACCUCGCUGCAACUCCACGUUACCUCGGUGCAACUCCACGUAACCUCAGAACAACUUCAUUCAACCUUGCUCCAACUCCUCGCAACUUCAGUGCAACUCCACACGUUCUCUGUGCAACUCCCAAGCAACCUCGCGACAUCGUACAAGGGGACAGCAAGAGGGAAGGAAGCGCAAAUUGCUCCUCUAUCAUCGGCCAUUCCAGGCAGUUAACGGGACCCGGUAACACCGUAAAUACUUUGACAGUCACAUUUGCCUUGCUACUGCUACUACUACUACAGGCCUUGUGUUUGUAUCAGGGGGAGUGGGGGGGGGGUCUCUAACGUUCUGUCUUCCAGAAUCCUCUCCCUGGUCUACUCUCGCUCAAACAUCAAACAUCUCGGUACAGCUCCAAACCAAGGAAGCCCCAACAGGGCAGAGAUCCCAGGCAGUGACAGGACAGGGAGCCAGGUCUGCCUCUCGAUGUCUCGGUUCAAGUGCAGAGGAUGGAAGUGCAAACGGUCGAAUCGGCGGUGGAUUCAGGCAGUUAACGGACCUCCUGGUAACAACGCAACUCCUUUGGCCGUGCGUUUGAAUUUGCCUCGCUGCUGCUACUACUACAGGAUUUGUUUGUAUCGGGGAGGGGGGAGGGGCUCCUAAUGUUCUGUGUUACAGGACUCCAGCAGUUGUGCCUAGCGCAGACGUUUCUGUUCAACUCCACGCAAUUCUUUACUGGAACUCCACACAGCCUCGGUGCUACUCAACGGAACCUUGAUGCAACUCCAACAGCGUCCAUCAGGGAGUUUCAAUGUCUCUUGCUACCCACAGUAGCAACAUUAUUACUAUGCAGUGGUCAUGAGCAGUGCUCCUAGGUAGCCACGAGUGUGAACACGGAGGUUGUGUUUGUCA
Petromyzon marinus (sea lamprey) is the source of this 5133-nucleotide non-coding RNA. Lineage: Eukaryota; Metazoa; Chordata; Hyperoartia; Petromyzontiformes; Petromyzontidae. The record is from RefSeq and is a predicted model, not a curated record.